RNAcentral lists this ribosomal RNA (468 nucleotides) under uncultured bacterium. Its description in RNAcentral is "partial 16S ribosomal RNA". It matches the Rfam family "Bacterial small subunit ribosomal RNA", at positions 28 to 507 of the family's 1533-position model. The record is from RNAcentral.
GACGAACGCUGGCGGCGUGCUUAACACAUGCGAGUCGAACGGAAAGGCCCUGCUUUUGUGGGGUGCUCGAGUGGCGAACGGGUGAGUAACACGUGAGUAACCUGCCCUUGACUUUGGGAUAACUUCAGGAAACUGGGGCUAAUACCGGAUAGGAGCUCCUGCUGCAUGGUGGGGGUUGGAAAGUUUCGGCGGUUGGGGAUGGACUCGCGGCUUAUCAGCUUGUUGGUGGGGUAGUGGCUUACCAAGGCUUUGACGGGUAGCCGGCCUGAGAGGGUGACCGGCCUCCUUGCUACUGAGAUACGACUCAGAAUCCUAAGUAAAGCAGUAGUCGGAAAUCUUACAGAGUGGGCCUUGGUCAGAUGCAGCGACGCAACGAGCGAAAUGUUGACCUUCGCGUUGUUAUCCGCUUUCUCCUGUGCUGUUGCCUGAGUGACGUUAAUGAAUCAAGAAUCGCCGGCUGACUACGUG